AAAAAAAGAGGAGAAGAAUGCACUUGGAGCUGAAUAUAGUAUGUUCCUCACGAGUCACCGUAUUUAAUUAAUGUUGAAAUAGAGGAGGCUUCUUCAUGAAAACACCCCCUCACCCUCCAUCCCAGCUUAAAAAAUAAAAAAAAAAGAUAGUUCUCUUACACAUGAUGAGGCUAACGGCUUUGAGAAAGUCAUAUCUGGGAGAUAUUCCGCUGUAGUGUUGCCAAUUGUUAAAGUGAUUACUGAAGCACGUCAAGAACAUGACUUUUAUGCUACUUUUGACAUUCCAAUUGCUAUUAUUAUUGUUGGCAUAAUCUGAAGUAAGAGUAGAUUUCUAAGAUUAGAAAUUUUCUUUAUCUAUGUCAUUUUAACUAAAAAAGGUAGAGAACUCCCCACUGUAUUUUCUCCCUCAACUCACUUAUUGUAUUUGCAUCUCCGACUGUAUAAUUGGACAAUUAUGUUUUCCAACGAAGUUGAUUUUCUAACUUAAUAUCCAAAAGAAGCGUUAAAUUUCUCUUUUCAACUGUUGAGUUUUACCUUUUGAUAUUUUCCUCCAAUUUAAUUUGUUUGUUCUUUAUUUUUAGUUCAUUGCAAAAAG
Molecule: long non-coding RNA, 595 nt
Filed under: Capsicum annuum
Lineage: Eukaryota; Viridiplantae; Streptophyta; Magnoliopsida; Solanales; Solanaceae
Description: long non-coding RNA (CANN_LNC020560)
Source: RNAcentral